AUGCGAGUCGAGAGGGUUCGGCCCUCGGCGGACGGCUCAGUAACACGUGGAUAACCUACCCUUAGGUGGGGGAUAACCUCGGGAAACUGAGGAUAAUACCCCAUAGUUCUAGGAGGCUGGAAUGCACCUAGAAUGAAAGCUCCGGCGCCUAAGGAUGGGUCUGCGGCCUAUCAGGUAGUAGUCAGGGUAACGACCUGACUAGCCUACGACGGGUACGGGUUGUGAGAGCAAUAGCCCGGAGAUGGACUCUGAGACACGAGUCCAGGCCCUACGGGGCGCAGCAGGCGCGAAACCUCCGCAAUGCGCGAAAGCGCGACGGGGGGAUUCCAAGUGCUGGCUCGUAAGAGUCAGCUGUUCUCGAGCCUAAAAAGCUCGGGAAGUAAGGGCUGGGUAAGACGGGUGCCAGCCGCCGCGGUAAUACCCGCAGCUCGAGUGGUGGCCACUAUUAUUGGGCCUAAAACGUCCGUAGCCGGUCUGGUAAAUGCCUGGGUAAAUCGUGAGGCUCAACCUUACGAACUCCGGGUAGACUGCCAGACUAGGGACCGGGAGAGGCUAGAGGUACUCCGGGGGUAGGGGUGAAAUCCUGUAAUCCUCGGGGGACCACCAG
This 607-nucleotide ribosomal RNA is filed under the name uncultured archaeon. RNAcentral's name for it is "bacterial SSU rRNA". It matches the Rfam family "Archaeal small subunit ribosomal RNA", at positions 51 to 663 of the family's 1478-position model. The record is from RNAcentral.